UCUUCUGCGUUUAAGAACCAUGCUAAAAUUUUCUAAAUCAAGUCGUCUUGGUUUAUGAAAUAAUGCUAGCAGGGUAGUAGGUUGAAGUAGAAUAUUUAGCUCUGCACUGCACUGCAAAUGAGAUGUGGGCAGACCUCUUUCUUAAUGUCCGGUGUCCUGUGUCUCAGAGUCUAGUGCCACAAAU
Small nucleolar RNA from Anguilla rostrata (American eel), 184 nucleotides. RefSeq annotates it as small nucleolar RNA SNORA81. The record is from RefSeq and is a predicted model, not a curated record. NCBI's taxonomy places the organism in Eukaryota, Metazoa, Chordata, Actinopteri, Anguilliformes, Anguillidae. The transcript has a single exon.